GCCUCUCAAUAUGCUGUGAUUACAGGCAUGAGCCACUGUGCCUGGCUGUCCAGAAACUUUCCUUGUAACCCCAAACUGGACAUUGAAUUUGUGGGUGGAGAGGGUGAAAUAAGUUAGAGACUUUUACAGAGCACGGGAGGUGGGGAAGGCAGAGUGAGAACUAAUGUGGUUAAAGGUUGACUGUGUGAAGGGCACCAUGCCACGCGCUAGCUAUUACCUUCAGUCCUCACAAAAACCAGGUGAGAUGUUUAUUAUAAUAAUUAUCAUCAUCACCAUUUGACAGAGUGAGACAAGCUCAGAGUAUAUGACAUCAUGGCCUCAAAUCACAAGCCAGUAUGUGACAGAUAUAAAACUAGAGCUGACACCAGGGGUCCCAUGGACAGAGUUGGCUUCUUUUGGAUGAUUCAUCCGUUCAACUGUGAGCUCUUGACAGCAAUGUGAAGCAAGAAGUGCAUGUUAUUAUUAUCCUCAUUUUAUAGUUGAGAAAAAUGAUGCUCAUUAAAGUCAAGAAACCAGCCCAAAGUCACACAGCCUGUAAGUGAGUGGCAGAGCCAGGUAUGGUUUUAAGGUCUCUUGUCUCUCCAUAGAAUGUUCUUUUCUGUACACUGUUGUAGAGGAGCAAAAAAUGGGUGGGUCAGAUGAGCCAAGUUUAUAUAGUGUUUUGAGUUACAAAAAAGAAUAGUGGCAUGGGGCUUCUGCGGGCUGGUGGCAACACAAAUUAUGGGGAGGCGAGGGGAAGAAAUGUCCUAUUAUGGAGAUAAAAUCUCUCAGGAAGUAACAGUUGUCAGCUCUCUUCUUGACACAGAUACCUCACUAAAAAUGUAGAUUUCCGUUGUA
Molecule: long non-coding RNA, 837 nt
Filed under: Callithrix jacchus (white-tufted-ear marmoset)
Lineage: Eukaryota; Metazoa; Chordata; Mammalia; Primates; Cebidae
Description: lncRNA (ENSCJAG00000074369.1)
Source: RNAcentral